RNAcentral lists this long non-coding RNA (1021 nucleotides) under Lathyrus oleraceus (garden pea). RNAcentral describes it as "Pisum sativum (pea) long non-coding RNA (PSAT_LNC019487)". The record is from RNAcentral. Lineage: Eukaryota; Viridiplantae; Streptophyta; Magnoliopsida; Fabales; Fabaceae.
CAAAAGACCAAAUGAACAGUAAAUCUUCACGUGAUUCUUGGAAGAAGAAGAAAAGUGCAUUAAAUAAUAUUGAAAAUAGAAUAAAUGUAAAUAAUGAGAAUUAAAAUCAGUAAACCUAUCACCAUUCACUUCCUUUCUUCUUUCACGCUCAAUCAUCCUUCUCUCUCUCACUUUCGAUCUCUUACCAUCUCGCCACUCUCGAUCGCUCUAUCUCACACCUCUCUCGCUCAUGUCAUCUCUCAAUCUCAACCUUAUUCACAAACUUUCACUCUACAUGCCAAAAAAACAAAAUGCUUUAAAGAGAUUCAAGCAGUAAAACUCACCUUCGGCGGUGGUCCGACGGUAAUGACGAUGCUUGGAUCUUCCUCCCGUCGCCGCUCAACUCUUCUAGCUUUAGGGUUUUCGCUCUCUGAAAACUUUAGGGUUUUUUUUGUGGCUGAUUGAAGUUAGGUUUUUCGUCGCCGCUCCUAAAAAACCCUCCUUUUUUCCUACAGCAUCCGCCUCUUUUUAUACCCAAUCAGUUAGGGUUUUCGAGCUAGCUAUGGAGAUUAAAAAGGGAAACCUCUUGGAAGUGCUUUUAGGUGCUCAGCUUUGCCUGUCUCGCUUGAUACUUAAAUCUGGAAACGGUAAUAUGAACUUAGCUUUCUUCCUCUAACUUUGUCUCAAUUCUCUUUUGGGUUAUUUUUUGAACUUUACAGCCUUUGCUAAUUACUUGGUUUUACUGUAGUAAAAAUUGGUGAAAAGAAACACUUCGGUUAUUUGCAAAGCUCAACUAUUGCUACUACCAUGAACUUCUAGGUGUGAAGAAGUGCUAGCUAUCAAGGAUGAAAAUCAGUUCCGUUAUAAGCUAAUGUUAAUGUUAAGUCUCAUUACAUUGUCUUACUUAACUGUUAGUGCAGAAUUUCUUAUUAAUUGGAAAUUUUGUUCAACUAUGAGGAAUUAUUCUUACUGUUAUGCUUAUUAAUCUCUGCAGGUUAGUAGGUGUUGCCGGUUGAAUGUGUUGUUGCUAAUGUGUUUGNNN